RNAcentral lists this non-coding RNA (26 nucleotides) under Mus musculus (house mouse). The record is from RNAcentral. Lineage: Eukaryota; Metazoa; Chordata; Mammalia; Rodentia; Muridae.
UGUGUUCCUACCCGGGAAGGGAGAGU